RNAcentral lists this transfer RNA (72 nucleotides) under Gossypium barbadense (sea-island cotton). It matches the Rfam family "tRNA". From Rfam's summary of the family: Transfer RNA (tRNA) molecules are approximately 80 nucleotides in length. Their secondary structure includes four short double-helical elements and three loops (D, anti-codon, and T loops). RNAcentral also lists the same sequence under 1 other name. The record is from Rfam by way of RNAcentral. Lineage: Eukaryota; Viridiplantae; Streptophyta; Magnoliopsida; Malvales; Malvaceae.
GCAUUUGUAGUCCAACGGUUAGGAUAAUUGCCUUCCAAGCAGUAGACCCGGCUUCGACUCCCGGCAAACGCA